Molecule: long non-coding RNA, 236 nt
Filed under: Hordeum vulgare
Lineage: Eukaryota; Viridiplantae; Streptophyta; Magnoliopsida; Poales; Poaceae
Description: long non-coding RNA (HVUL_LNC012151)
Source: RNAcentral
CCUAUAAGGUUAAGGUUGAUGGCAUGGGUUCAUGUUACCUCUGAGGAUCAUCCGCUGCAAUAUAUAUAAAGACUUGGCCACAGAGGACAUAUCUUCAUAAACGAUACGUAAUGGAUGUAAAACUCUAGUUAUUCAGUUUCCGUGUGUUCACUGAGGAUUGAUCUAUAGGAUCAAUGUGCACGUAACUUCGGUGGUCUUGACUUAUGAGUCGGGGUCUCCACAGCGUGCGAGCAGGU